This 478-nucleotide ribosomal RNA is filed under the name uncultured bacterium. RNAcentral describes it as "partial 16S ribosomal RNA". It matches the Rfam family "Bacterial small subunit ribosomal RNA", at positions 28 to 507 of the family's 1533-position model. The record is from RNAcentral.
GGUGAACGCUGGCGGCGUGCUUAACACAUGCAAGUCGAACGGGAAACCUUUUAUUGCAGCUUCGGCAGAUUUAGCUGGUUUCUAGUGGCGGACGGGUGAGUAACGCGUGGGUAACCUGCCUUAUACAGGGGGAUAACAGUCAGAAAUGGCUGCUAAUACCGCAUAAGCGCACAGAGCUGCAUGGCUCAGUGUGAAAAACUCCGGUGGUAUAAGAUGGACCCGCGUUGGAUUAGCUGGUUGGUGGGGUAACGGCCCACCAAGGCGACGAUCCAUAGCCGGCCUGAGAGGGUGAACGGCCACAUUGGGACUGAGACACGGCCCAGACUCCUACGGGAGGCAGCAGUGGGGAAUAUUGCACAAUGGGGGAAACCCUGAUGCAGCGACGCCGCGUGAAGGAAGAAGUAUCUCGGUAUGUAAACUUCUAUCAGCAGGGAAGAUAAUGACGGUACCUGACUAAGAAGCCCCGGCUAACUACGUG